AGUGAACGCUGGCGAUAGGCCUAACACAUGCAAGUCGAACGGCAGCACAGUAAGAGCUUGCUCUUACGGGUGGCGAGUGGCGGACGGGUGAGGAAUACAUCGGAAUCUACUUUUUCGUGGGGGAUAACGUAGGGAAACUUACGCUAAUACCGCAUACGACCUACGGGUGAAAGCAGUGGAUCUUCUGACCUUGCGCGAUUGAAUGAGCCGAUGUCGGAUUAGCUAGUUGGCGGGGUAAAGGCCCACCAAGGCGACGAUCCGUAGCUGGUCUGAGAGGAUGAUCGGCCACACGGGAACUGAGACACGGUCCAGACUCCUACGGGAGGCAGCAGUGGGGAAUAUUGGACAAUGGGCGCAAGCCUGAUCCAGCCAUACCGCGUGGGUGAAGAAGGCCUUCGGGUUGUAAAGCCCUUUUGUUGGGAAAGAAAAGCAGCAGGUUAAUACCCCGCUGUUCUGACGGUACCCAAAGAAUAAGCACCGGCUAACUUCGUG
RNAcentral lists this ribosomal RNA (492 nucleotides) under uncultured bacterium. RNAcentral describes it as "partial 16S ribosomal RNA". It matches the Rfam family "Bacterial small subunit ribosomal RNA", at positions 29 to 507 of the family's 1533-position model. The record is from RNAcentral.